Molecule: ribosomal RNA, 116 nt
Filed under: Cupriavidus sp. GA3-3
Lineage: Bacteria; Pseudomonadati; Pseudomonadota; Betaproteobacteria; Burkholderiales; Burkholderiaceae
Description: partial 16S ribosomal RNA
Rfam family: Bacterial small subunit ribosomal RNA
Source: RNAcentral
UUGAACUGAAGAGUUUGAUCCUGGCUCAGAUUGAACGCUGGCGGCAUGCCUUACACAUGCAAGUCGAACGGCAGCACGGGCUUCGGCCUGGUGGCGAGUGGCGAACGGGUGAGUAA